GAUGAACGCUGGCGGCGUGCCUAAUACAUGCAAGUCGAGCGAACAGACGAGGAGCUUGCUCCUCUGACGUUAGCGGCGGACGGGUGAGUAACACGUGGAUAACCUACCUAUAAGACUGGGAUAACUUCGGGAAACCGGAGCUAAUACCGGAUAAUAUAUUGAACCGCAUGGGUCAAUAGUGAAAGACGGUUUUGCUGUCACUUAUAGAUGGAUCCGCGCCGCAUUAGCUAGUUGGUAAGGUAACGGCUUACCAAGGCAACGAUGCGUAGCCGACCUGAGAGGGGGAUCGGCCACACUGGAGCGGAGACACGGUCCAGACUCCUACGGUAGGCAGCAGUAGGGAAUCUUCCGCAAUGGGCGAAAGCCUGACGGAGCAACGCCGCGUGAGUGAUGAAGGUCUUCGGAUCGUAAAACUCUGUUAUUAGGGAAGAACAAAUGUGUAAGUAACUAUGCACGUCUUGACGGUACCUAAUCAGAAAGCCACGGCUAACUACGUG
RNAcentral lists this ribosomal RNA (497 nucleotides) under uncultured bacterium. RNAcentral's name for it is "partial 16S ribosomal RNA". It matches the Rfam family "Bacterial small subunit ribosomal RNA", at positions 28 to 507 of the family's 1533-position model. The record is from RNAcentral.